GACGAACGCUGGCGGCGUGCCUAAUACAUGCAAGUAGAACGCUGAAGAGAGGAGCUUACUCUUCUUGGAUGAGUUGCGAACGGGUGAGUAACGCGUAGGUAACCUGCCUUGUAGCGGGGGAUAACUAUUGGAAACGAUAGCUAAUACCGCAUAACAAUGGAUGACACAUGUCAUUUAUUUGAAAGGGGCAAUUGCUCCACUACAAGAUGGACCUGCGUUGUAUUAGCUAGUAGGUGAGGUAAUGGCUCACCUAGGCGACGAUACAUAGCCGACCUGAGAGGGUGAUCGGCCACACUGGGACUGAGACACGGCCCAGACUCCUACGGGAGGCAGCAGUAGGGAAUCUUCGGCAAUGGGGGCAACCCUGACCGAGCAACGCCGCGUGAGGGAAGAAGGGUUUCGGAUCGUAAAGCUCUGUUGUAAGUCAAGAACGGGUGUGAGAGUGGAAAGUUCACACUGUGACGGUAGCUUACCAGAAAGGGACGGCUAACUACGUG
Molecule: ribosomal RNA, 497 nt
Filed under: uncultured bacterium
Lineage: Bacteria
Description: partial 16S ribosomal RNA
Rfam family: Bacterial small subunit ribosomal RNA
Source: RNAcentral